RNAcentral lists this transfer RNA (72 nucleotides) under Pelobates cultripes (western spadefoot toad). Its description in RNAcentral is "tRNA.Pro". It matches the Rfam family "tRNA". From Rfam's summary of the family: Transfer RNA (tRNA) molecules are approximately 80 nucleotides in length. Their secondary structure includes four short double-helical elements and three loops (D, anti-codon, and T loops). Lineage: Eukaryota; Metazoa; Chordata; Amphibia; Anura; Pelobatidae. The record is from RNAcentral.
GUUUCCAAGGUGUAAUGGUUAGUAAUCUGGACUCGGAAUCCAGUGAUCCGAGUUCAAAUCUCGGUGGAACCU